UGAACGUCAUGACGCGCCCCGCGAUACUACGGCGUAUCUUGCGUACUACCACCGACGGAGCUUUUGUGGCGGACGCGGUAUUGGCAUUGCAUCGAACGAACAUGUCAGUGCAGUUUUGAAGAGGAGAACUGGACCACAGAGUGCAUUGCGGGAAAACUAGCACAGGCGCACCGCCAGCGAUCCGGCGUCCAGCUCUACAAUGGCGUCCGUAUC
Molecule: long non-coding RNA, 213 nt
Organism: Rhipicephalus microplus (southern cattle tick)
Lineage: Eukaryota; Metazoa; Arthropoda; Arachnida; Ixodida; Ixodidae
Source: RefSeq, a predicted model, not a curated record